UACAGAGGUCCCAAGCGUUGUUCGGAUUCAUUGGGCGUAAAGGGUGCGUAGGCGGCGCGGUAAGUCGGGUGUGAAAUCUCGGAGCUUAACUCCGAAACUGCAUUCGAUACUGCCGUGCUUGAGGACUGGAGAGGAGACUGGAAUUUACGGUGUAGCGGUGAAAUGCGUAGAUAUCAAGAGGAACACCUGAGGUGAAGACGGGUUGCUGGGCCAACACUGACGCUGAGGCGCGAAAGCCAGGGGAGCAAACGGG
RNAcentral lists this ribosomal RNA (253 nucleotides) under uncultured bacterium. RNAcentral's name for it is "partial 16S ribosomal RNA". It matches the Rfam family "Bacterial small subunit ribosomal RNA", at positions 524 to 776 of the family's 1533-position model. The record is from RNAcentral.